RNAcentral lists this non-coding RNA (24 nucleotides) under Arabidopsis thaliana (thale cress). The record is from RNAcentral. Lineage: Eukaryota; Viridiplantae; Streptophyta; Magnoliopsida; Brassicales; Brassicaceae.
UCACUCAUUGUGGACAACUUGCUA